This 867-nucleotide ribosomal RNA is filed under the name uncultured euryarchaeote. Its description in RNAcentral is "bacterial SSU rRNA". It matches the Rfam family "Archaeal small subunit ribosomal RNA", at positions 1 to 880 of the family's 1478-position model. The record is from RNAcentral. Lineage: Archaea; Methanobacteriati; Methanobacteriota.
UUCCGGUUGAUCCCGCCGGAGGCUACUGCUAUCGGGGUUCGAUUAAGCCAUGCGAGUUAAAUGUUCUUCGUGAACAUAGCGAACUGCUCAGUAACACGUGGAUAACCUACCCUUAGGACCGGAAUAACCCCGGGAAACUGGGGAUAAUACCGGAUAAGCCAUAGACGCUGGAAUGCCCUAUGGUUCAAAGCUCCGGCGCCUAAGGAUGGAUCUGCGGUCUAUCAGGUUGUAGUGGGUGUAACGUACCUACUAGCCGACGACGGAUACGGGUUGUGAGAGCAAGAGCCCGGAGAUGGAUUCUGAGACACGAUCCAGGCCUACCGGGAGGGCGCGAACACUUUACAAUGCGGGAAACGCGAUAAGGGAACCCCGAGUGCCAGCACCAAGUGUUGGCUGUCCGGAUGAUUAAAAAUCAUUUGUUAUCAAGGGCCGGGCAAAACGGUGCCAGCCGCCGCGGUAACACCGGCGGCCGAGUGGUAGCCGUUUUUAUUGGGUCUAAGGUCCGUACCCGGCUUGAUAAGUUCUUUGGGAAAUCUGGCAGCUUAAUUGUCAGGCUUCUAACGGAUACUGUCAGGCUUGGGACCGGAAUAAGUAAUGGGUACUCCAAGGGGUAUGAGUGAAAUCUUGUAUCCCUGGGGGAACAUCUGUGGCGAAGGCGCCUUAACAGAACGGUUCCGAGGUUAGGGGACGAAAGCUAGGGGAGCACAACCGGAUUUAGAUACCCGGGUAAUCCUAAGCUGUAAAACGAUGCUCGCUAGUGUCAUACACGGUGCGACCGUGUUUGGUGCCGCAUACAAACCGUUUAUCGAGUCAUCUGGGGAAGUACCGUACGCAAGGUGAAACUUAUAGGAAUUGGUGGUGAGCACU